AGACUGUUGUGGAGUCCCACAAUAGGACGAAACAGCUGUCUAGUGU
Non-coding RNA from Schistosoma curassoni, 46 nucleotides. NCBI's taxonomy places the organism in Eukaryota, Metazoa, Platyhelminthes, Trematoda, Strigeidida, Schistosomatidae. The record is from Rfam.